UCCCUGGUGGUCCAGUGGUUAAGGCUCUGAGCUCCCAAUGCAGGAGGCGCAGGGUAGAUUCCUGCUCAGGGGA
Molecule: transfer RNA, 73 nt
Filed under: Bos taurus (domestic cattle)
Lineage: Eukaryota; Metazoa; Chordata; Mammalia; Artiodactyla; Bovidae
Also listed under: 4 other names
Rfam family: tRNA
About the family: Transfer RNA (tRNA) molecules are approximately 80 nucleotides in length. Their secondary structure includes four short double-helical elements and three loops (D, anti-codon, and T loops).
Source: Rfam by way of RNAcentral